UAGUCCACGCCGUAAACGAUGGACACUAGUUGUUGGGAUUUAUCUCAGUGACUAAGCGAAAGUUUUAAGUAAUCCACCUGGGGAGUGCGAUCGCAAGAUUGAAACUCAAAGGAAUUGACGGGGGCCCGCACAAGCGGAGGAACAUGUGGUUUAAUUCGAUGAUACGCGAGGAACCUUACCUGGACUUAAAUGUAGAUUGCAUAGCUAGAGAUAGCUAUUUCUUCGGACUAUCUACAAGGUGCUGCAUGGUUGUCGUCAGCUCGUGCCGUGAGGUGUCAGGUUAAGUCCUAUAACGAGCGCAACCCCUGUUGUUAGUUGCCAGCGAGUCAAGUCGGGAACUCUAACAAGACUGCCAGUGCAAACUGUGAGGAAGGUGGGGAUGACGUCAAAUCAUCACGGCCCUUACGUCCUGGGCUACACACGUGCUACAAUGGUAGGGACAGAGAGCAGCCACUGGGCGACCAGGAGCGAAUCUAUAAACCCUAUCACAGUUCGGAUCGG
RNAcentral lists this ribosomal RNA (501 nucleotides) under uncultured bacterium. RNAcentral describes it as "bacterial SSU rRNA". It matches the Rfam family "Bacterial small subunit ribosomal RNA", at positions 791 to 1301 of the family's 1533-position model. The record is from RNAcentral.